AGGUUCUUUUUGUAAGAUGUUUUCAUGGUGUGGGAAUAAGACUUGGUGGUCUAAUACAGCUAAUAUGUAGGUUAGCAUCACAGCUUGUCCGUAAGGAUUGAGGCUGAGAAUGGCCAUUGGAGCUGACUUUUAUGGUAACUUUAACUGUGGCUGAAUGAAAUUAUUGUGUGAACUAACAGCACAGAAUGUAAAUCAGACAAUUUUUGUGUAUGUUUCAAAAAAUGUGUAUAAAUUUUUACAAAAAAAAAAAAAUGUGUAAAGAUUCUCCAUUUUCAACAAGAUUGGAAGUUGAAGGUUAACUUGUAUUUGAAAUUUCAAAAAUUCUCUUUAUUUUUUCCAUUCAAACCCAUGGCUAUAUUCUGGUAUCUAUACUCAUAUCCAUUAUUGGUUUAACACUUUUUUUUUGUCAUGCUUAUGGAUACUGAACUAGUUUUUUUGUAUGUAGUUUUGUAAUGAUGAGUUUAUAGUUCAGAUCCUUAUUCAUUAUUUUCCCCCCUGUGACUAGAUUUGAUUGAUACUUUGAAAAUGAAGUGAAAAGGACAAAUUUUACAAUUUUACUUGUAGACCUACUUGAGAUGUCUUAAUAAUGGUCCAUGUGUAGUCAAAACACUUCCAGUAGGUUAAAAAUGGAGAAUCUAAAAAAAAAAAAAAAAGAAAAAAAAUUAUUUUAUUGAAAUGUGCUUUUGGGGUUUUCUGAAUUGUUAGAUAUAUAAAUUUUUUCCAACUUUUUGUUAUUUUUAGCAGGGUUUUUGGC
Molecule: long non-coding RNA, 754 nt
Organism: Mytilus californianus (California mussel)
Lineage: Eukaryota; Metazoa; Mollusca; Bivalvia; Mytilida; Mytilidae
Exons: 3
Source: RefSeq, a predicted model, not a curated record